Molecule: transfer RNA, 73 nt
Filed under: Heterocephalus glaber (naked mole-rat)
Lineage: Eukaryota; Metazoa; Chordata; Mammalia; Rodentia; Bathyergidae
Rfam family: tRNA
About the family: Transfer RNA (tRNA) molecules are approximately 80 nucleotides in length. Their secondary structure includes four short double-helical elements and three loops (D, anti-codon, and T loops).
Source: Rfam by way of RNAcentral
GGAGGUGGAGCUCAGUGGUAGAGUGCUUCCCUAGCAUGCACUAAGGCCCUGGGUUUGAUCCCCAGCACCUCAA